This 425-nucleotide ribosomal RNA is filed under the name uncultured bacterium. RNAcentral describes it as "bacterial SSU rRNA". It matches the Rfam family "Bacterial small subunit ribosomal RNA", at positions 355 to 772 of the family's 1533-position model. The record is from RNAcentral.
UGGGGAAUUGUUCGCAAUGGGCGCAAGCCUGACGACGCAACGCCGCGUGGAGGAUGAAGGUCUUCGGAUUGUAAACUCCUGUUGCCUGGGACGAAUGGCUCCAACCUAAUACGUUGGAGUGUGACGGUACCAGGUGAGGAAGCCCCGGCUAACUCUGUGCCAGCAGCCGCGGUAACACGUAGGGGGCAAGCGUUGUCCGGAUUUAUUGGGCGUAAAGAGCUCGUAGGUGGUUCGGUAAGUCGGGUGUGAAAACUCUGGGCUCAACUCAGAGACGCCACCCGAUACUGCUGUGACUUGAGUCUGGUAGGGGAGUGUGGAAUUCCCAGUGUAGCGGUGAAAUGCGCAGAUAUUGGGAGGAACACCAGUGGCGAAGGCGGCACUCUGGGCCAGUACUGACACUGAGGAGCGAAAGCGUGGGUAGCGAA